Molecule: long non-coding RNA, 383 nt
Filed under: Calidris pugnax (ruff)
Lineage: Eukaryota; Metazoa; Chordata; Aves; Charadriiformes; Scolopacidae
Description: lncRNA (ENSCPUG00000007554.1)
Source: RNAcentral
GUACAUAAUAAAAGAUGGUGAUGUGAAGAUAGCUGAAGAUCUCCAUUUUCUUUUCCCUGAAAGCAGCAGAGAAGGAAGGUCAAGGAGCUUGCCUGAUCUUGAAAGAGAAGAGAUGAAAAAUAUCUGUGAUGGGAGGAACUGAAGAACAUUUUCGAAGGUCUCAAGGCAUUUCACACCCUAGGAAAGAAUCACUAUCCACACUUUACAAGUGGGAACAAGGCAUUGGAAGCAUCAGGAGAUGUCCCAAGGAGAAAUGGCAGAAGAGAAGAUACUCCCUCAAAGCCUGUCUGAUGACUAUCCACGAAGCCAAACUCUUUUGCUGGAGUAAGAGAUUCAGUUUACUGAGCAAUCGUGACUUGCUUCAAAACAUUUUAUCUGUUUAG